CCUACGGGAGGCAGCAGUGGGGAAUAUUGCACAAUGGGGGAAACCCUGAUGCAGCAACGCCGCGUUAGUGAAGACUUAUUUCGGUAUGUAAAGCUCUAUCAGCAGGGGAGAAGAUGGCGGUACCUGAGUAAGAAUCCCCGGCUAACUACGUGCCAGCCGCCGCGGUAAUACGGAGGGGGCCAGCGUUAUCCGGAUUUACUGGGUGUAAAGGGAGCGUAUACGGUGGGACAAGUCUGAAGUGAAAGCCUGGGGCUCAACCCCGAGACUGCUUUGGAAACUGCCUGACUGGAGUGCUGGAGAGGCAAGCGGAAUUCGUAGUGUAGCGGUGAAAUGCGUAGAUAUUAGGAAGAACACCAGUGGCGAAGGCGGCUUGCUGGACAGUAACUGACGUUGAGGCUCGAAAGCGUGGGGAGCAAACAGGAUUAGAUACCCGAGUAGUC
RNAcentral lists this ribosomal RNA (440 nucleotides) under uncultured bacterium. RNAcentral's name for it is "partial 16S ribosomal RNA". It matches the Rfam family "Bacterial small subunit ribosomal RNA", at positions 338 to 795 of the family's 1533-position model. The record is from RNAcentral.